CUGUUUGUGAACCAGGCAAAGCUGUAGUUUUGUUUCCUAAAAACAGUGCUGCUCCAGGCAACAUGGUCCCAGAAUUCCUUAGCCAGCAUGAAUAUGCAGGUUCCCACCACCUCCCACAUGUUUCCUGAAAGGCAGCCGGGCAUUGCCGUCUUGGAGGGGGGUCCCCGUCUCAGAGUAAGCAAAACUGAUUUGCUGUCACAUCCGCCAAUCUUCAAGGUGCCCUGGACAAAAGGAGAGUGUCUGUUCCUUCAAAGCUUCCUGAAGUCUACAGGAGACUCUGGCCCACUGUUGGAACGGAGGACUUGGUGCAUGCUGAAGUGAAACAUCUCAUUCUGCUCUCUUUCCCUGUCCAGGAAGUCAUCAAGACAUCUAAGAAAUCAGUUUCAGAAGACAGAAGCCACAAACAGCUGUGACUACAGAACCUUCUUCUGAAACAACAGAAGGCAGUCCAGCCAAGUACCACUGAGAGGCAGAGCAGAUCCAAUGCUUGGAAAAUGGCAAGUCUAUCCAUAAGAAGAUACAAAGUAAGGUAGUUCUUUGCCAGUUAGUUCAUCAGUCCAAAACUCUUGAAAACUGCAAGUUUUCUUUACAAGACUCGUCUGUUAACAUGUUUUAAGACAUUUAAAUAGCCAUUUGCUUGGUUGGCCUGUGCAAGUAAAAAUGUCUUCAGCUGACUAGAUGGGUCAGGUGGAUUCAUUCUUUUUAUUUCAGAGAAUGAAUGGAUUCUCACAGUGGACUUUAUUCA
This is a long non-coding RNA of Pogona vitticeps (central bearded dragon), 745 nucleotides long. RefSeq lists it as uncharacterized. Lineage: Eukaryota; Metazoa; Chordata; Lepidosauria; Squamata; Agamidae. The record is from RefSeq and is a predicted model, not a curated record.